RNAcentral lists this ribosomal RNA (308 nucleotides) under uncultured bacterium. Its description in RNAcentral is "partial 16S ribosomal RNA". It matches the Rfam family "Bacterial small subunit ribosomal RNA", at positions 505 to 807 of the family's 1533-position model. The record is from RNAcentral.
GAGACAGCAGCCGCCACGGUAAUACGUAGGGUCCGAGCGUUGUCCGGAAUUAUUGGGCGUAAAGGGCUCGUAGGCGGUUUGUUGCGUCGGGAGUGAAAACCGGGUGCUUAACACCUGGCUUGCUUUCGAUACGGGCAGACUUGAGGCAUGCAGGGGAGAACGGAAUUCCUGGUGUAGCGGUGAAAUGCGCAGAUAUCAGGAGGAACACCGGUGGCGAAGGCGGUUCUCUGGGCAUGUUCUGACGCUGAGGAGCGAAAGUGUGGGGAGCGAACAGGAUUAGAUACCCCUGUAGUCCCUGUCUCUUAUAC